RNAcentral lists this ribosomal RNA (884 nucleotides) under Vibrio parahaemolyticus. Its description in RNAcentral is "bacterial SSU rRNA". It matches the Rfam family "Bacterial small subunit ribosomal RNA", at positions 640 to 1523 of the family's 1533-position model. The record is from RNAcentral. Lineage: Bacteria; Pseudomonadati; Pseudomonadota; Gammaproteobacteria; Vibrionales; Vibrionaceae.
ACUAGAGUACUGUAGAGGGGGGUAGAAUUUCAGGUGUAGCGGUGAAAUGCGUAGAGAUCUGAAGGAAUACCGGUGGCGAAGGCGGCCCCCUGGACAGAUACUGACACUCAGAUGCGAAAGCGUGGGGAGCAAACAGGAUUAGAUACCCUGGUAGUCCACGCCGUAAACGAUGUCUACUUGGAGGUUGUGGCCUUGAGCCGUGGCUUUCGGAGCUAACGCGUUAAGUAGACCGCCUGGGGAGUACGGUCGCAAGAUUAAAACUCAAAUGAAUUGACGGGGGCCCGCACAAGCGGUGGAGCAUGUGGUUUAAUUCGAUGCAACGCGAAGAACCUUACCUACUCUUGACAUCCAGAGAACUUUCCAGAGAUGGAUUGGUGCCUUCGGGAACUCUGAGACAGGUGCUGCAUGGCUGUCGUCAGCUCGUGUUGUGAAAUGUUGGGUUAAGUCCCGCAACGAGCGCAACCCUUAUCCUUGUUUGCCAGCGAGUAAUGUCGGGAACUCCAGGGAGACUGCCGGUGAUAAACCGGAGGAAGGUGGGGACGACGUCAAGUCAUCAUGGCCCUUACGAGUAGGGCUACACACGUGCUACAAUGGCGCAUACAGAGGGCGGCCAACUUGCGAAAGUGAGCGAAUCCCAAAAAGUGCGUCGUAGUCCGGAUUGGAGUCUGCAACUCGACUCCAUGAAGUCGGAAUCGCUAGUAAUCGUGGAUCAGAAUGCCACGGUGAAUACGUUCCCGGGCCUUGUACACACCGCCCGUCACACCAUGGGAGUGGGCUGCAAAAGAAGUAGGUAGUUUAACCUUCGGGGGGACGCUUACCACUUUGUGGUUCAUGACUGGGGUGAAGUCGUAACAAGGUAGCGCUAGGGGAACCUGGCGCUGGAU